GUAGUCCUGGGAUCUCAGGACCUACCCUUACACUAAACACCCUUUGAAAGAAUGACUUCUUUGGUACUAGGCGUCAGGUUGGCUCUGGGAGCUGGGAGCUGGGCCAUAGGGCAGGCCUGACUGGGUGCUCCCGCUGCGCCUGGGCCUCCGCGCAGGUGCAGGUGGGGCAGGUGGGGCAUGAGGCAGGUGGGACGUCCCUGUCGUCCUGGAUAAUUUAGUGCUUUCAAUAACUGAUAUGGGAAAUACAAAAGAAGAGUAAACUGAUCUCUAAUGCAGAGGAGUUUUCUAAUUUUACGACAAAAAAACAUGUGAUGAAUCUGAGAAAAAAUAUAAAAGAAAGUGUACAUAACAUGUUGAUCUUUGUUUCAACUAGCUACAACAGAGGACCAUGCAUUUGUAUCAACUAAAUAAGAAUUUUUAGAAAUGUUUGUCCUAGAAAAGUGAUGGUUUUAUCUACAGCAGUAUCUGAGGGGUGCAGGUGAGUGAAGAGAAGAAAAAGUCAAGCCCUAAGGCCUUACCCAUUCCAGAAGCAACUCUGCUCUGCUUCCAAUUCUGAGGCCUUGGGUGGUUGUUGGCCUUCAGGUGGGCUUUACUGCUUUACUGCAGGAUGAUAGGGCCGGCCAUGGAGCAUGGGCAGUGAUAUCAGAAAAUCCUGGAUUUGAACCUUAGGUCUGCUGUGCACUGGGCAACUUCCAUGGCUUCUCUGUUUCCCAAUCUACCCUUUCAUUCAUUUAUUUGUCCAGUGAUUUAUUAAUCCUCUCCUGGGUGAC
Molecule: long non-coding RNA, 770 nt
Filed under: Homo sapiens (human)
Lineage: Eukaryota; Metazoa; Chordata; Mammalia; Primates; Hominidae
Description: HSALNT0253251
Source: RNAcentral